UGCAAGUGAUGUGAAAGAAUAUUUGCUAUCUGAACAGCUAUGCUGACCUUUCCCACCAAGAUCACUGAUGCA
RNAcentral lists this small nucleolar RNA (72 nucleotides) under Anabas testudineus (climbing perch). Its description in RNAcentral is "Small nucleolar RNA SNORD24 (ENSATEG00000012603.2)". It matches the Rfam family "Small nucleolar RNA SNORD24". Rfam says of the family: U24 is a member of the C/D class of snoRNA which contain the C (UGAUGA) and D (CUGA) box motifs. The record is from Rfam by way of RNAcentral. Lineage: Eukaryota; Metazoa; Chordata; Actinopteri; Anabantiformes; Anabantidae.